RNAcentral lists this ribosomal RNA (446 nucleotides) under Salmonella enterica subsp. enterica serovar Rubislaw. RNAcentral describes it as "bacterial SSU rRNA". It matches the Rfam family "Bacterial small subunit ribosomal RNA", at positions 1 to 447 of the family's 1533-position model. RNAcentral also lists the same sequence under 1 other name. Lineage: Bacteria; Pseudomonadati; Pseudomonadota; Gammaproteobacteria; Enterobacterales; Enterobacteriaceae. The record is from RNAcentral.
UGAAGAGUUUGAUCAUGGCUCAGAUUGAACGCUGGCGGCAGGCCUAACACAUGCAAGUCGAACGGUAACAGGAAGCAGCUUGCUGCUUUGCUGACGAGUGGCGGACGGGUGAGUAAUGUCUGGGAAACUGCCUGAUGGAGGGGGAUAACUACUGGAAACGGUGGCUAAUACCGCAUAACGUCGCAAGACCAAAGAGGGGGACCUUCGGGCCUCUUGCCAUCAGAUGUGCCCAGAUGGGAUUAGCUAGUUGGUGAGGUAACGGCUCACCAAGGCGACGAUCCCUAGCUGGUCUGAGAGGAUGACCAGCCACACUGGAACUGAGACACGGUCCAGACUCCUACGGGAGGCAGCAGUGGGGAAUAUUGCACAAUGGGCGCAAGCCUGAUGCAGCCAUGCCGCGUGUAUGAAGAAGGCCUUCGGGUUGUAAAGUACUUUCAGCGGGGAGG